Molecule: ribosomal RNA, 354 nt
Filed under: uncultured eukaryote
Lineage: Eukaryota
Description: LSU rRNA
Rfam family: Bacterial large subunit ribosomal RNA
Source: RNAcentral
AGCUUAUUUCGCGCAGCUUAGGUGGGAGACGUUGAACCUUUUCUUCCGGGAAAGGGGGAGUCAUCAGUGAGAUACCACUCUUGGUAAGCUAGAGCGCUCAUUUUUAACCGUUAUCCGGUAAAAAGACAGUUUCAGGCGGGCAGUUUGACUGGGGCAGUCACCUCCCAAAAGGUAAUGGAGGUGUACAAAGGCUCUCUCAGGCUGGACGGAAAUCAGCCAUAGAGUGUAAAAGCAUAAGAGAGCUUGACUGCGAGACGGACAUGUCAAGCAGAGACGAAAGUCGGUUUUAGUGAUCCGACGGUGCUGAGUGGAAAGGCCGUCGCUCAACGGAUAAAAGUUACUCUAGGGAUAACA